AAUUUAGUCUCUAAGUGUAGGUUGCCCUAUGUAAAAUUGAUACGCAAGGAGAUUAAGGAUAGGAGGUAUCUAAACUUAAGCGGGACUUUUCUUCCCGCUGACUUGUGCAAAGAGAAAGAAAAGGGAUCGGAUGUGGCAAAAACUUGUCAAUCCCCGCAGAAAGAGAGUAGAACAAGUGCCUCCAAAGAUCACAGUGUGGCGGAACCUGAAAAGGUCUCCGUAAAGAAAGUCAAAACCAUCGAUAGGUCGGGUAAGCUUCAUCUCUCUACAGACCACUCAGUUGAGAGUAGGACUGAGAUUUCCGGUGUGUAUGCUGUUGAUCUGAGCUCUAAAUUAGCAGAAGAAGAACCCGUUUUAAAUGCAAAAUCAAGCAAAGAGACUCAGUCAUCGUCCAAACAAACAGACCAUUCAGAAUGCAAGAACAAUCCUGGUUCUGUUGUGCCAAACAAGUCCUCUGGGCCGAAAACGGUUCAGAAGAACACGUUUCAUCCGUCUCAGCGUCGACUGCAAAUGCCGUGUCGGAUCACCGUGAAGAGGAACCGCAGUGUGAGAAUUCCCUCACGCCUGAAAGCUUUCAUCCAAGAAAACCCAAGAAGGUUUCUAGUAAAUCUAAACGUGUCCGAGAUGUGAAUAAAGUUCUACAAACGCAACCCGCACACCUACCAGCCAGCAAUCGUCUGAUGACGAGAGCGCUGAGGGCCAUGAACGAUUCAACAAAACAGGACAAAGUUGGAAAGAAAGCUGAGCAAAAACAGAUCCUCAAGUCUUUUAGAAAGGCUGAUAAAGUUGUGAAGAAUCAUAAACCUAAACAUGAGUUUCAUACGAAAGUAAAAGCUUUGAAAUCCCACCAUUCUGACAAAGGUGAACGUGAUCAGGGUAAAAUUUCAAGCAGCAGUUCCUUCUCUUUAAUGUUUUCUGAUUCAAAUGAUUCUGAAGAUGUCAAGAGUGAAGAUGAAGACCUUUCAAUAUCCUCUACGCCACCAAUGGACUUCAUACCGCUUACUUCAAAAGUCAAAGCAAAGUACGAGGGUCAGUCCUCCGACAAAUACUCAACAUCUCCCCCAUCGCCGUUUUCCUUUCUCAGAGCUUUCAAAAAUGUGGAGGAAGUUUCCUUCCAGUCUCUAGGGGCUGACAGAAGUGGUAAGCCCAUUUCUCUCAAGCCAAAGCCAAACUGCAAGUUCAGCACUUUUCUCAUGAUGUUGAAGGACUUGCAUGACACCAGAGAGCGGGAUGGAACGCCGCUCGAGCUGGAGAUCGGACCACCGAGCGCUCAUGUUAAGGAAGAGCCGCUGGUGAUGCCAGGAGAGAAUGCAUCUGCGGGACGGGAUCAAGAAUCUGCAUCUGGAGGACAGGAUCAAGAAACUGCAUACGCUCUGAGCGAUUCGAGUGCAAUCACAGACAAAAGCGUGGAGGCUUUAAAUGAAGGAGGUGCGAGUCAGACACUGAAGAAACCCUCUAACAGGAGAGGCAACUCCGGUUGGUUCAAAAGGAAACCCAACCGCAGGGCGCCUUGUUCUCCUGCCAAGUCUGGACCCGGUUUUCCAGGCCUAGAGUCUCUUUUAGAAAUGAUGCCAACAGAGGACUCCCUGGAAAACAUGGGGUGGUCAUCAAGAGUUGUGGACUUCCAGAGCAGCAGCUGGGAGGAGCGAGCUGGAGGGAGCGAUCUGGUGGUUGGUGAAGAGCAUGAGGAGAGCUUGUGGAGCAGAGCAAAAGAGAAUCUAACAGUCCCUGUGCCUUUGGAGCAGAGGGAGUGUGGCAUGGUGGAGGAACAGCCAAACUGCCUCAUUUCAGACUUUGUCAAGAGAGAUUCAAUCUUUGCACACAAAUCUGGAGAAGAAGACAAGACUCCAGGAGCGCAUAAACGGAUCAGAAAACCCAGCAAGAGGCUGAUCGAAUGGACCGAAGAGUACGAGCAAAUUUUCUGCACGAGGAAGAAAAUCAAAAAGCCUCUCCAGUUGAUUGGAAAGGCCAGUCCAACACCCUUUACCUCCGCGCCUGAACUCCUGGACUCUGAUAACAACGCGAGCGACCCCCCUCCCUCGACUGUGCUCCCGGAAAUACAGACCCCCCCUCCUGAGGAAAUCCCUGCAGCGACACCACCGGAACUACCAAUUCCUGACAACCAACACACCUGUCCUCAAGUCACACCGGUGCUGUCCACAGACACACUGACACCCCCACCCGAUGUGGAGCCCCUACUGUCAGAAGUUAUUCCUAAAGACAAUAGGGAAGCAAGUCUGCCUGUGCUGGAAAAGAAGCGGAAGAGGAAACCCACCCAGAAGAUUCUGGAAUACUGUCUGGAGGCAGAAGCCUCAACGGGCCCAAAGAAGAAGAUCAAAGGACUAAGAAAUAAUUCAAGCUCUGCCCCUCAUUCAGAUUCUGCUCCACCACCACCAUUAAAACUGAAGACUAAAGUAGCUUUGACCCCCACGCCAACGUCUGAGGUCACCACCUGCACAUCCACACCAUCUAUUCAGAUCAAUCACAGAGCCGCUCUGCCCCCCCAUCCAGCCCCGUCUCCACCUGAGCCCGGGCAGGAGGACACAGCAGAACCAGAUGCGCCUCCUCACGCUGAGGAGCAGAACACCCAGAUGACCCAAAGGAUGUGUCAGAGGGAGAGGGGGACCAGUGCAGCCUGGACCACAGCUUCUCCUCCGGAAAGGACGACUUGGGACUCUGUGACGAUUCUACUUUACCGGCGAGGAAGAUCAUAGGGG
Oryzias javanicus (javanese ricefish) is the source of this 2717-nucleotide long non-coding RNA. Lineage: Eukaryota; Metazoa; Chordata; Actinopteri; Beloniformes; Adrianichthyidae. The record is from Ensembl.